CGGGGAGUCAGCUUACCUUUCACGGCGAAAGUCGGAAUUUCAUGCACAUCUGUAUUCGCGACUUCGUCAGCAUCGAUCGACACUGGGCA
This 89-nucleotide small RNA is filed under the name Xanthomonas campestris pv. campestris. RNAcentral describes it as "sRNAXcc-23". Lineage: Bacteria; Pseudomonadati; Pseudomonadota; Gammaproteobacteria; Lysobacterales; Lysobacteraceae. The record is from RNAcentral.